Molecule: long non-coding RNA, 598 nt
Organism: Homo sapiens (human)
Lineage: Eukaryota; Metazoa; Chordata; Mammalia; Primates; Hominidae
Source: Ensembl
AGCAAGGAGGACAGUGAUGUGGAGUGAGUGAGGGGAAAAGCAUAAGGGGAUAGGAUCAGGCUCUGAAAAGCACUUGGAUUUUUACUCUGAGUGGGAAGUGAAGUCAUUGGGAGGUGUUCAGCCGAGGAGUGAUGGAGCUGCAGUGCUGAGAAUAGACCGUUGACUGGUGAAGGGAGAAGAGAAUGAUGUUUUGCACUGGGAAGUGAUACAUGGCAUGCAGUCACCAAAUGAGGUCACAUUCUGGGGUUCUGAGUGGACGUGAUUUAGAGGAACACUAUUCAACCUCGUACAGGGAACAAACAGAAGAAAUAACAUGUUUGAAGCAGUAGUGUGUUGGAGCUGACUCAAACCUGCUAUCAAGAGCCAACUGUUAAAUUUUCAGCAAUUUUGUUAUCUGGUAGACAUUAGUAACUUGAAAUUGAUCACAGUGUGAGUAUUUGCAUUGUGGAAAUUGACAAAUGCCACAAAUCAUGUUUGUUUAUUUUUCUUCUGGAGAACCCAUUGUUAAACAUUUACCAGCACACCACUGGUUUGAAGGCCUUGUAUCUGAAAAGACAUGUGUCUAGCAUGGCUGGCCUAUAAGGAAGUGUGGACUGGA